Molecule: ribosomal RNA, 116 nt
Filed under: uncultured bacterium
Lineage: Bacteria
Description: partial 16S ribosomal RNA
Rfam family: Bacterial small subunit ribosomal RNA
Source: RNAcentral
UACGUUCCCGGGUCUUGUACACACCGCCCGUCACACCAUGGGAGCGGGUUUUACCAGAAGUAGGUAGCUUAACCGCAAGGGGGGCGCUUACCACGGUAGGAUUCGUGACUGGGGUG